RNAcentral lists this ribosomal RNA (497 nucleotides) under uncultured bacterium. RNAcentral's name for it is "partial 16S ribosomal RNA". It matches the Rfam family "Bacterial small subunit ribosomal RNA", at positions 28 to 507 of the family's 1533-position model. The record is from RNAcentral.
GAUGAACGCUGGCGGCGUGCCUAAUACAUGCAAGUCGAGCGAACGGACGAGAAGCUUGCUUCUCUGAUGUUAGCGGCGGACGGGUGAGUAACACGUGGAUAACCUACCUAUAAGACUGGGAUAACUUCGGGAAACCGGAGCUAAUACCGGAUGAUAUUUUGAACCGCAUGGUUCAAAAGUGAAAGACGGUCUUGCUGUCACUUAUAGAUGGAUCCGCGCUGCAUUAGCUAGUUGGUAAGGUAACGGCUUACCAAGGCAACGAUGCAUAGCCGACCUGAGAGGGUGAUCGCCCACACUGGAACUGAGACACGGUCCAGACUCCUACGGGAGGCAGCAGUAGGGAAUCUUCCGCAAUGGGCGAAAGCCUGACGGAGCAACGCCGCGUGAGUGAUGAAGGUCUUCGGAUCGUAAAACCCUGUUAUUAGGGAAGAACAUAUGUGUAAGUAACUGUGCACAUCUUGACGGUACCUAAUCAGAAAGCCACGGCUAACUACGUG